This 1350-nucleotide ribosomal RNA is filed under the name metagenome. RNAcentral's name for it is "bacterial LSU rRNA". It matches the Rfam family "Bacterial large subunit ribosomal RNA", at positions 1585 to 2925 of the family's 2925-position model. The record is from RNAcentral.
UUGAAUUCAGUGAUCCUAUGCUGCCGAGAAAAGCCUCUAGUGAGUUCAUACACGGCCCGUACCCCAAACCGACACAGGUGAUCAGGUAGAGAAUACCAAGGCGAUCGAGAGAACUGUGGUAAGGAACUCGGCAAAAUGCCGCCGUAACUUCGGGAGAAGGGGGACCAUGCCCGGUGAACAUCUUCACGGUGGGAGCUGGGUGUGGUCGCAGAGACCAGAGAGAAGCGACUGUUUACUAAAAACACAGGUCCGUGCGAAGACGUAAGUCGAUGUAUACGGACUGACGCCUGCCCGGUGCUGGAAGGUUAAGAGGACCGGUUAGCCGUAAGGCGAAGCUGAGAAUUUAAGCCCCAGUAAACGGCGGUGGUAACUAUAACCAUCCUAAGGUAGCGAAAUUCCUUGUCGGGUAAGUUCCGACCUGCACGAAUGGCGUAACGACUUCUCUGCUGUCUCGACCACAGACUCGGCGAAAUUGCACUACGAGUAAAGAUGCUCGUUACGCGCGGCAGGACGAAAAGACCCCGGGACCUUUACUAUAGCUUGGUAUUGGCGUUCGAUUCGGUUAGUGUAGGAUAGGUGGGAGACUGUGAAGCAUGCACGCCAGUGUGUGUGGAGUCGUUGUUGAAAUACCACUCUGAUCGUAUUGGACGUCUAACCUCGGCCCAUGAUCUGGGUUAGGGACAGUGCCUGGUGGGUAGUUUAACUGGGGCGGUUGCCUCCUAAAGAGUAACGGAGGCGCCCAAAGGUUCCCUCAGCCUGGAUGGCAAUCAGGUGUUGAGUGCAAGUGCACAAGGGAGCUUGACUGUGAGACUGACACGUCGAGCAGGGACGAAAGUCGGGACUAGUGAUCCGGCACCGGCAAGUGGAAGCGGUGUCGCUCAACGGAUAAAAGGUACCCCGGGGAUAACAGGCUGAUCUUCCCCAAGAGUCCAUAUCGACGGGAUGGUUUGGCACCUCGAUGUCGGCUCGUCGCAUCCUGGGGCUGGAGUAGGUCCCAAGGGUUGGGCUGUUCGCCCAUUAAAGCGGCACGCGAGCUGGGUUUAGAACGUCGUGAGACAGUUCGGUCUCUAUCCGCCGCGCGCGUAAGAAACUUGAGGAAGGCUGUCCCUAGUACGAGAGGACCGGGACGGACGAACCUCUGGUGUGCCAGUUGUUCCACCAGGAGCAUGGCUGGUUAGCUACGUUCGGAAGGGAUAACCGCUGAAAGCAUCUAAGCGGGAAGCCUGUUCCAAGAUGAGGUUUCUCACCACCUUGCGUGGUUAAGGCCCCCUACAGACCAUGGGGUUGAUAGGCCGGAACUGGAAGCGCAGCAAUGCGUGGAGGUGACCGGUACUAAUAGGCCGAGGGCGU